RNAcentral lists this ribosomal RNA (272 nucleotides) under Oxyrrhis marina. RNAcentral describes it as "partial Bacterial large subunit ribosomal RNA". It matches the Rfam family "Bacterial large subunit ribosomal RNA", at positions 849 to 1116 of the family's 2925-position model. The record is from RNAcentral. Lineage: Eukaryota; Dinophyceae; Oxyrrhinales; Oxyrrhinaceae.
CUCGUACUCCCCGAAAUAUAUUUAGGUAUAGCGUCUGGUUUUGUCUGUCCGGAGGUAGAGCACUGAUUAGGCUAGGGCCCUUCACCGGGUACCAACCCUAGACAAACUCCGAAUGCCGGCACAGAGCCACCAGGCAGUCAGUGGCAGGGUGAUAACGUCCUGUCGCGAGAGGGAAACAACCCAGACCACCAGCUAAGGUCCCUAAAUGAUGGCUAAGUUGAUCAAAGAAAGUUGAGUUGCUCAGACAACUAGGAGGUUGGCUUAGAAGCAGC